Molecule: unclassified non-coding RNA, 300 nt
Filed under: uncultured fungus
Lineage: Eukaryota; Fungi
Description: partial contains 5.8S ribosomal RNA, internal transcribed spacer 2, and large subunit ribosomal RNA
Rfam family: 5.8S ribosomal RNA (bases 1-52)
Source: RNAcentral
AACGCACCUUGCGCUCCUUGGUAUUCCGAGGAGCAUGCCUGUUUGAGUGUCUUGAAGUCAUCAACCCCUGCCUGUUUGCGGAUGGGCUUGGGUUGGAUGUUGGGGGCCUGCUGCCGUGAGGUGGCUCCCCUUAAAUGCGUCGGUUGGGCCAGUGGGCCGCAUCCGAUCGGGCGUUGUAACACCCUCGCUCUUGGUCGGGGCCCUGUCCGAGCCCUCCUGCGACCGCCUCUGGAGUGGCGGUCAGAAACUGAUCUUUGAACCUCUGACCUCAAAUCAGGUAGGACUACCCGCUGAACUUAA